GAUGAACGCUGGCGGCGUGCCUAAUACAUGCAAGUCGAGCGAACAGACGAGGAGCUUGCUCCUCUGACGUUAGCGGCGGACGGGUGAGUAACACGUGGAUAACCUACCUAUAAGACUGGGAUAACUUCGGGAAACCGGAGCUAAUACCGGAUAAUAUAUUGAACCGCAUGGUUCAAUAGUGAAAGACGGUUUUGCUGUCACUUAUAGAUGGAUACGCGCCGCAUUAGCUAGUUGGUAAGGUAACGGCUUACCAAGGCAACGAUGCGUAGCCGACCUGAGAGGGUGAUCGGCCAGACGGGAUCUGAGACACGGCCCAGACUCCUACGGGAGGCAGCAGUAGGGAAUCUUCCGCAAUGGGCGAAAGCCUGACGGAGCAACGCCGCGUGAGUGAUGAAGGUCUUCGGAUCGUAAAACUCUGUUAUUAGGGAAGAACAAAUGUGUAAGUAACUAUGCACGUCUUGACGGUACCUAAUCAGAAAGCCACGGCUAACUACGUG
Molecule: ribosomal RNA, 497 nt
Filed under: uncultured bacterium
Lineage: Bacteria
Description: partial 16S ribosomal RNA
Rfam family: Bacterial small subunit ribosomal RNA
Source: RNAcentral